AUCUUCAGGGCGGGGUGCAAUUCCCCACCGGUGGUAUAGCCCACGAGCCGAAAGGCAUGACCCGGUGCGAUUCCGGGGCCGACAGUAUAGUCUGGAUGGAAGAAGAU
RNAcentral lists this non-coding RNA (107 nucleotides) under uncultured Lawsonibacter sp. RNAcentral describes it as "FMN riboswitch (RFN element)". It matches the Rfam family "FMN riboswitch aptamer (RFN element)". From Rfam's summary of the family: The RFN element is a highly conserved domain that is found frequently in the 5'-untranslated regions of prokaryotic mRNAs that encode for flavin mononucleotide (FMN) biosynthesis and transport proteins. This element is a metabolite-dependent riboswitch that directly binds FMN in the absence of proteins. The record is from RNAcentral. Lineage: Bacteria; Bacillati; Bacillota; Clostridia; Eubacteriales; Oscillospiraceae.